Equus caballus (horse) is the source of this 1259-nucleotide long non-coding RNA. The record is from Ensembl. NCBI's taxonomy places the organism in Eukaryota, Metazoa, Chordata, Mammalia, Perissodactyla, Equidae.
CUUCUUUGCAACCAGCAAACAGUCCGUGGAGGUCACGGUGAUAACCAGUUCCAGCAAGCACGCCUCCUCCUCCUGGUUGAAACGUCGGCUGCCGGUUCCUUGCCUGAACCAAUCAUUUCAUCGGGUGUUGCAAAGCAGCACGUCUCUGACGGUGGUGGGCAGCAUCUAAAAUAGCCCCAAAGAUCUCUGCGUCCUGAUCUUCACACCCAGGUCCAGUGGAUGAGUUAGUGGUCUUAACCAGCCUGAACUGGACAAGGAGUCGACCCUCAGUUCCUGAAAAACCCAAGCACCUGUGCCCAUGGUGACCCAGGCGUCAGAGAUCUCAUCUGUACGAGUUGAUGUCUCGUUUUGUCACCGAUGACCGACCUGCCGCGGUCGGCAGGAGGGACAGGCCGUGUGAUGCUGAAUCUUCUACCAUCGCGGAGCCUGUCUUGUGGCAGAGUGUGGAGGAACGGGGCUCGAGGGGCAUCCUGCUGGAGGACAGCUGCACCCAGGUCCUACGUCCACUGUCCUCGGAGUGCCCCGGCAAGCCCGGCCCAGCUCUCCUCAGUCUUUGGCCUGUCUUGACCUAGUGACAAUGAGCUCCUCCUCCCCACUGGGGUCAGCUGGCGACACUCUCACCCGCAGCAGGCUCCUGAGUUGGCUUUGGUGCCACAAGAAGCAGCCCAUGCCCCUGGUCACAUUCCUGCCAGCUCUCCCUUAUCUGGUCCCACUGCUGCCCUUCCAACACCCUGGCUGGGGGCGGGGGGUGGUGGGUCACAGGCCUCCCAGGAUUUCCUCGUGACUCUUUCCCCCGUCUCCCCAGAAGGGGGUUUUGCAAAUUUUUCAGAAGCAGCGGCCAGACCACAGCCAGGGCCUCUGCUCCACCUCUGUCCCCCGGGAGAUGUCGUGUGGCAGCCUGGCCACUUCCUUCACCAACUGGGGUGUGCUGGCCACUCAGGUUUUCAGCUCUGAACAAUAAAACUCUCAGGUCCCCUUGCAGAUGGACACGCACUGUCCUGGCCAUGUCCCACUGCUUGGGCUGGGCAGGGCGCACAGGUGUCUACACUUGCUCUCUCUGCACCUCUCUCUGUACACUGAUAUACAAUUCCUUACGUAUAUCAACAUCUCACAAACAUAAAACAUAACACUGGAGACUCGACGACACCCCAUCGCUGGCCUGCUGUGUACCAAGCUCCCGCGUCCUGGUCCCUGGCUCCCAGGAUGGUAGGAACCCUGCAGGCUCGGAGCAGCCUCUCCACAUGAGCGCUGGUCUGUGC